This 564-nucleotide long non-coding RNA is filed under the name Bos indicus x Bos taurus (hybrid cattle). Its description in RNAcentral is "lncRNA (ENSBIXG00000023187.1)". The record is from RNAcentral. Lineage: Eukaryota; Metazoa; Chordata; Mammalia; Artiodactyla; Bovidae.
UUUUUUUUUUCUUCUAAAUAGCCAUUAAUAUGUUCUGAGAGAUGCUGAGCUAAGCUCAUUCCAUUACUUUACAGAUGGAAAACUGCAGCCCAGAGGAAGGAAUCAGCAUACUCAGGGUAGAGAAACAGAGCGGUGAUGAGAAGCCAGCCUUCCACCAUUUCCGGGAGGCUGGAAAAAAUGGGGUUCUGCCAGGUGGACCAAAUCCCUUCAUGCUGGUACCCUCUGCCUUCAGACAGUAAGACUUGGGCUUUUCUACUAGCUGGUAAAUUAUUCCUCGUCCCUCUGUCUACUUCCAACCUUCAUAUAUUGUGGUCUGGAGCUACAGACAACUCCUCGCUUCAUCAGACUAAGAGUUCUAUUCUACGUUUUUGGUUUUUGGAGGAGGGGAAAGGAUACAAUAUGUCCUGACUUAGCCAUCCUGAAACUACAAAUCUGACUCUCAGAUGGAUGGCUCAUAACUGAUCUCUCCCCUCAACUCUAACAGUAUGUUUGAAACUUGUGUUUGGUUGUGUUUUUUUUUUUAAAGAAAACCUCACAUUUGUCAUCACCAAGACACGACUUUUU